AGACGAACGCUGGCGGCGUGCCUAAUACAUGCAAGUCGAACGAACUCUGGUAUUGAUUGGUGCUUGCAUCAUGAUUUACAUUUGAGUGAGUGGCGAACUGGUGAGUAACACGUGGGAAACCUGCCCAGAAGCGGGGGAUAACACCUGGAAACAGAUGCUAAUACCGCAUAACAACUUGGACCGCAUGGUCCGAGCUUGAAAGAUGGCUUCGGCUAUCACUUUUGGAUGGUCCCGCGGCGUAUUAGCUAGAUGGUGGGGUAACGGCUCACCAUGGCAAUGAUACGUAGCCGACCUGAGAGGGUAAUCGGCCACAUUGGGACUGAGACACGGCCCAAACUCCUACGGGAGGCAGCAGUAGGGAAUCUUCCACAAUGGACGAAAGUCUGAUGGAGCAACGCCGCGUGAGUGAAGAAGGGUUUCGGCUCGUAAAACUCUGUUGUUAAAGAAGAACAUAUCUGAGAGUAACUGUUCAGGUAUUGACGGUAUUUAACCAGAAAGCCACGGCUAACUACGUGCCAGCAGCCGCGGUAAUACGUAGGUGGCAAGCGUUGUCCGGAUUUAUUGGGCGUAAAGCGAGCGCAGGCGGUUUUUUAAGUCUGAUGUGAAAGCCUUCGGCUCAACCGAAGAAGUGCAUCGGAAACUGGGAAACUUGAGUGCAGAAGAGGACAGUGGAACUCCAUGUGUAGCGGUGAAAUGCGUAGAUAUAUGGAAGAACACCAGUGGCGAAGGCGGCUGUCUGGUCUGUAACUGACGCUGAGGCUCGAAAGUAUGGGUAGCAAACAGGAUUAGAUACCCUGGUAGUCCAUACCGUAAACGAUGAAUGCUAAGUGUUGGAGGGUUUCCGCCCUUCAGUGCUGCAGCUAACGCAUUAAGCAUUCCGCCUGGGGAGUACGGCCGCAAGGCUGAAACUCAAAGGAAUUGACGGGGGCCCGCACAAGCGGUGGAGCAUGUGGUUUAAUUCGAAGCUACGCGAAGAACCUUACCAGGUCUUGACAUACUAUGCAAAUCUAAGAGAUUAGACGUUCCCUUCGGGGACAUGGAUACAGGUGGUGCAUGGUUGUCGUCAGCUCGUGUCGUGAGAUGUUGGGUUAAGUCCCGCAACGAGCGCAACCCUUAUUAUCAGUUGCCAGCAUUAAGUUGGGCACUCUGGUGAGACUGCCGGUGACAAACCGGAGGAAGGUGGGGAUGACGUCAAAUCAUCAUGCCCCUUAUGACCUGGGCUACACACGUGCUACAAUGGAUGGUACAACGAGUUGCGAACUCGCGAGAGUAAGCUAAUCUCUUAAAGCCAUUCUCAGUUCGGAUUGUAGGCUGCAACUCGCCUACAUGAAGUCGGAAUCGCUAGUAAUCGCGGAUCAGCAUGCCGCGGUGAAUACGUUCCCGGGCCUUGUACACACCGCCCGUCACACCAUGAGAGUUUGUAACACCCAAAGUCGGUGGGGUAACCUUUUAGGAACCAGCCGCCUAAGGUGGGACAGAUGAUUAGGGUGAAG
This 1493-nucleotide ribosomal RNA is filed under the name Lactiplantibacillus plantarum. RNAcentral describes it as "Lactobacillus plantarum partial 16S ribosomal RNA". It matches the Rfam family "Bacterial small subunit ribosomal RNA". Lineage: Bacteria; Bacillati; Bacillota; Bacilli; Lactobacillales; Lactobacillaceae. The record is from RNAcentral.